RNA transcript from Magnolia sinica, 2851 nucleotides. RefSeq lists it as uncharacterized. Lineage: Eukaryota; Viridiplantae; Streptophyta; Magnoliopsida; Magnoliales; Magnoliaceae. The transcript has 2 exons. The record is from RefSeq and is a predicted model, not a curated record.
UUUCUCUUUUUUUUUUUUAUAGAAAUUUACACCCUCCUUUUUUUUUUUCGCUUCUCUAAUACAUUUCUAAGAUCUACAGAUGGGAUUGAGCUGCUGCUUUUUCCUCCUGUUUUUGGUGGAUUUCAGGAUAUUCUAGGGUUUCUCUUUUUCUAUGGUUUGGAUCGAAAAUAUUCGGAAAGAUUCCAUCCUUUGUGGCUUUUUCCUAGGCUUUUGAUCUGGUUGUGUUGGGGAUUUUUCGUUAUUUGAUGUUUUAGGGUUUUAUUUUAUUUUAUUGGUAGGGUUUGUGAAAUUUUUUUUGUGGUCAGGGUUUCUGGAAUUGAUGACGAGGGGUUGUUUGUUUUGGGAUUUUGGAGAUGGGGUUUGGUUUUAUUGCUGGUUGAUUGAUGUUUUCUAGGGUUUUGUUUUGUUAGGGUUGGUGAAAUUUCUAUCUUUUUCGUGGUGGGUUUUUUCUUUUCUUUUUUUCAAAAUUCUAAUUUUUUAGGUUGGCGUUUGUGAAAUUGGUUGAAGUCGUUUUGGGGGAUUGUGUUGGUAUUUCUGGGUUUUCUGAAAUAUCACUCCUUUUUUUUACUGGUUGAUUGUUUCUUUAUAGGGUUUCUGAAAUUCCUGCAAGGGGGUGUGUUUUGGGCGUUUUGAAGAUGGGGUUUUGGUUUUUAUUACCUGCUGAUUGAUAUUUCUGGAGCUUAUGGAAUCUCUAUUUCUUCUAGUUGAUUGAUGUUUCUAGGGUUUCUUUUUCUAGGGUUUCUGAAGCUCCUCAAAAGGGUUUCUUUAUGGAGGUGUUUUUGAUGGUGUUUGGGUGUUAUCUCUAGCUGGGUUUUCUGAGGUGGGCCUUUUGGAAUGGAUUUGUGAUGUUUUCUGUGAGAUGCUUCUGUUGAGUCUGGUGGAUUUGGAAAAAUUCAAAGGAGAUAAGGAAAGAUGGGGGAAGCACGCCUCACGACCCUCUCGAUGGAGAAUCACCACCCGUCGACUCUCCUCUCCAUGGACUCAAGCGCCACAGCAUCCCACGACGAUUGUGACCGAGAGUUGAGUCGUUCCGUUGUCCUCUCUCGUCCGCCGGAUAUAAACCUCCCCUUGUCAGCUGAGCGGAGCCCACCUCCCCCACCAUGGAAUUCUGACAUAUGUGACAUCUUGGAUGUUGGCCUUGGGCCUCAGAUCUAUGAGACUGAGGCCUUCCUCAAUCUCCCUAAGGCUGGGCGUAAGUGCGCUAAACGGGGAGAUAGCAUCUGGGGGGCCUGGUUUUUCUUCAAUUUCUACUUCAAGCCGGUGUUGAACGAGAAAUCCAAGAGUAAGAUUACUCGUGAUGCAACAGGCGUGUCAGGGUUUGAUAAAUCAGACCUCCGGCUCGAUGUUUUCCUGGUUCAGCAUGAUAUGGAGAACAUGUAUAUGUGGGUUUUCAAGGAAAGGCCAGAGAAUGCGUUGGGUAAGAUGCAGCUGAGGAGUUACAUGAAUGGCCAUUCACGUUUGGGGGAGCCACAGUUUCCAUUCAGUGUUGAUAAGGGCUUUGUUCGAUCUCAUAGAAUGCAGCGGAAGCAGUACAGGGGCCUGUCUAACCCACAGUGUGUGCAUGGGAUCGAGGUUGUCAGGUCGCCUAAUCUCGCCGUGAUCUCUGAGGUUGAUCGCAAGAAGUGGAUGGAGCUGACGGGCAGGGACUUGAACUUCUCGAUACCAACCGAAGCGAGUGAUUUUGGGUCGUGGAGGAAUCUUCCGAACACAGAGUUUGAGCUUGAGAGGGCUCCUGCUUUGAAAAGUACUACAAAUCCAAAUUCAAGGAAGUUGCUUAAUGGGGCAGGUUUGAAUUUGUCAACAACAAAUCACAUUAGCGGGGACGGGAUGGAUCUCUCUCCCGUCCAUAACAAACGGAGGAAGGAUUUCUUCCCACAUGGCAAUGAAGAUGAUUGUGGUUUGACAAAUUCAUUUUCUGAUCGAGUUCAAGAUAUCGAGAUGCACCCAAUCGAGCCACCAUGGUUGAAUGAUUUCUCUGGUGUAAUGAGGCAUACAUACGGGCCAGUAACAGCUGCAAAGACUAUUUAUGAGGAUGAAGAAGGGUACUUGAUAAUGGUUAGCUUGCCUUUUUCUGAUCUCCAGAGAGUGAAAGUAUCUUGGAGGAACACUAUGACUCAUGGGAUUGUGAAAAUACUUUGUGUCAGUACAGCUCGGAUGCCAUUCAUUAAGAGGCAUGAUAGGACAUUCAAGCUCACGGAUCCGUCUCCUGAGCACUGCCCUCCAGGGGAGUUCGUGAGGGAAAUACCGCUCACAACUCGAAUUCCAGAAGAUGCUAAGCUAGAAGCAUACUAUGAUGAGACGGGUACUGUCCUAGAGAUUAUGGUUCCAAAACUCCGUGUGGGACCAGAAGAAGAGCAUGAAGUCCGUGUGUGCCUACGCCCUCACCUUAGUGCCAAUGAGCUUCUAUUAACUUGAUAUGGCUAGGGGCCGAAAAAUGUAGGGUGGUUGCCAUGGUGUGUGUGUACUACCUCUGUACCAUAAAAUGAAAAUCUAUGAAUUGAAAAGUGCACCCUUUUACCAUAUUUGGCAACGUGGUUCUGCGGAAGGCUAUGGUGUUUUUGGGCAUCUGAUUGGCAUUUGGCUGGGAUUGCUCCUGAGCUGCACAAGUUCUUAGGGAAAUGGCGUUGCUUUCUUGCCAAUUUUGCGGUCUUUGGAUGUAUUGAUGCCCUGAAGAUGAUCUGUCCCAGAAAAUCUCUACCAAGUAUGAUGGUGAAAUGUUGUAUAGGCAUCCAUGAAUCAUGAUGGAUGUGUAGUGUAUGGAUGUCAUCUUGUAGAUCUGGGACCCAAUGAAGCCAUUAUCAUCUCUUCCUUAGUAUAAAAUAAACAGUGAAUCUGACAAUUAGCAUGAUUA